UGGUGGAGCGAUUUGUCUGGUUAAUUCCGAUAACGAACGAGACUCUAGCCUAUUAAAUAGUUCGCCGAUUUUUCGAGUCGGCGUCAACUUCUUAGAGGGACAAGUGCCGUAUAGGCACGCGAGAUUGAGCAAUAACA
RNAcentral lists this ribosomal RNA (137 nucleotides) under uncultured eukaryote. Its description in RNAcentral is "partial 18S ribosomal RNA". It matches the Rfam family "Eukaryotic small subunit ribosomal RNA", at positions 1299 to 1458 of the family's 1831-position model. The record is from RNAcentral.